Molecule: ribosomal RNA, 752 nt
Filed under: Nesterenkonia sp. MJ223
Lineage: Bacteria; Bacillati; Actinomycetota; Actinomycetes; Micrococcales; Micrococcaceae
Also listed under: 1 other name
Description: bacterial SSU rRNA
Rfam family: Bacterial small subunit ribosomal RNA
Source: RNAcentral
GUCGACGAUGAAGCUUCCUGCUUGCAGGAAGUGGAUUAGUGGCGAACGGGUGAGUAUCACGUGAGCAACCUGCCCUUGACUCUGGGAUAAGCCUGGGAAACUGGGUCUAAUACCGGAUAUAACCUCUUACCGCAUGGUGAGUGGUGGAAAGCUUUUGCGGUCUUGGAUGGGCUCGCGGCCUAUCAGCUUGACGGUGAGGUAGUGGCUCACCGUGGCGAUGACGGGUAGCCGGCCUGAGAGGGUGACCGGCCACACUGGGACUGAGACACGGCCCAGACUCCUACGGGAGGCAGCAGUGGGGAAUAUUGCACAAUGGGCGAAAGCCUGAUGCAGCGACGCCGCGUGCGGGAUGACGGCCUUCGGGUUGUAAACCGCUUUCAGCAGGGAAGAAGCGCAAGUGACGGUACCUGCAGAAGAAGCGCCGGCUAACUACGUGCCAGCAGCCGCGGUAAUACGUAGGGCGCGAGCGUUAUCCGGAAUUAUUGGGCGUAAAGAGCUCGUAGGCGGUUUGCCGCGUCUGCUGUGAAAGCCCGGGGCUUAACUCCGGGUGUGCAGUGGGUACGGGCAGACUAGAGUGCAGUAGGGGAGACUGGAAUUCCUGGUGUAGCGGUGAAAUGCGCAGAUAUCAGGAGGAACACCGAUGGCGAAGGCAGGUCUCUGGGCUGUUACUGACGCUGAGGAGCGAAAGCAUGGGGAGCGAACAGGAUUAGAUACCCUGGUAGUCCAUGCCGUAAACGUUGGGCACUAGGUGU